UACGUAGGGUGCAAGCGUUAAUCGGAAUUACUGGGCGUAAAGCGUGCGCAGGCGGUGAUGUAAGACAGGUGUGAAAUCCCCGGGCUUAACCUGGGAACUGCAUUUGUGACUGCAUCGCUGGAGUGCGGCAGAGGGGAUGGAAUUCCGCGUGUAGCAGUGAAAUGCGUAGAUAUGCGGAGGAACACCGAUGGCGAAGGCAAUCCCCUGGGCCUGCACUGACGCUCAUGCACGAAAGCGUGGGAGCAAACAGG
RNAcentral lists this ribosomal RNA (251 nucleotides) under uncultured bacterium. RNAcentral's name for it is "partial 16S ribosomal RNA". It matches the Rfam family "Bacterial small subunit ribosomal RNA", at positions 524 to 776 of the family's 1533-position model. The record is from RNAcentral.